GACGAACGCUGGCGGCGUGCUUAACACAUGCAAGUCGAACGGAAAGGCCCUGCUUUUGUGGGGUGCUCGAGUGGCGAACGGGUGAGUAACACGUGAGUAACCUGCCCUUGACUUUGGGAUAACUUCAGGAAACGGGGGCUAAUACCGGAUAGGAGCUCCUGCUGCAUGGUGGGGGUUGGAAAGUUUCGGCGGUUGGGGAUGGACUCGCGGCUUAUCAGCUUGUUGGUGGGGUAGUGGCUUACCAAGGCUUUGACGGGUAGCCGGCCUGAGAGGGUGACCGGCCACAUUGGGACUGGGAUACGGCCCAGACUCCUACGGGAGGCAGCAGGGGGGAAUAUUGCACGAUGGGCGGAAGCCUGAUGCAGCAACGCCGCGUGCGGGAUGACGGCCUUCGGGUUGUAAACCGCUUUCGCCUGUGACGAAGCGUGAGUGACGGUAAUGGGUAAAGAAGCACCGGCUAACUACGUG
RNAcentral lists this ribosomal RNA (468 nucleotides) under uncultured bacterium. RNAcentral's name for it is "partial 16S ribosomal RNA". It matches the Rfam family "Bacterial small subunit ribosomal RNA", at positions 28 to 507 of the family's 1533-position model. The record is from RNAcentral.